RNAcentral lists this transfer RNA (74 nucleotides) under Triticum aestivum (bread wheat). It matches the Rfam family "tRNA". From Rfam's summary of the family: Transfer RNA (tRNA) molecules are approximately 80 nucleotides in length. Their secondary structure includes four short double-helical elements and three loops (D, anti-codon, and T loops). Further hydrogen bonds mediate the characteristic L-shaped molecular structure. tRNAs have two regions of fundamental functional importance: the anti-codon, which is responsible for specific mRNA codon recognition, and the 3' end, to which the tRNAs corresponding amino acid is attached (by aminoacyl-tRNA synthetases). tRNAs cope with the degeneracy of the genetic code in two manners: having more than one tRNA (with a specific anti-codon) for a particular amino acid; and 'wobble' base-pairing, i.e. permitting non-standard base-pairing at the 3rd anti-codon position. The record is from Rfam by way of RNAcentral. RNAcentral also lists the same sequence under 1 other name. Lineage: Eukaryota; Viridiplantae; Streptophyta; Magnoliopsida; Poales; Poaceae.
GUGCUCUUAGUUCAGUUCGGUAGAACGCGGGUCUCCAAAACCCGAUGUCGUAGGUUCGAAUCCUGCAGAGCGUG